Long non-coding RNA from Onychostoma macrolepis, 393 nucleotides. RefSeq lists it as uncharacterized. The record is from RefSeq and is a predicted model, not a curated record. NCBI's taxonomy places the organism in Eukaryota, Metazoa, Chordata, Actinopteri, Cypriniformes, Cyprinidae. The transcript has 3 exons.
GUGGGUUUCACAACUACAAUAACAGAAUUUUUCUGUCAAUCCCUUUAUGCUCUUUUCUGACUGCUGGUGUUUCAAAUCAUAUUGCUGUGGGUCGGCUGUUUAGAACAAUUGAAUCCCAUUCAAGAACUGCUUUGCCAAUCAACAUGCUAAGAAAAGCAUUCUACCAUUUCAGUGCUUUAAGGCAGUACUCAUACAAUUUUUUUUGUUACCGCUGUGGUUAUCAUCCAUCCAUUGUCAUAGCAGACACCAAUUGGAAAGUUGCAUUUGAUAUACCAGUCAAUCUCAUGAGACGCCCGGACAUUCAGAACAUUGGCCUCCAGGACACCCUUGUUAAUGUGGCAGCAAGAUGGGAGAACCUGGAAAAGGAGAUCAUUGCCACUGGAUUUUGUGACG